AGAGUUUGAUCCUGGCUCCGAUUGAACGCUGGCGGCAUGCCUUACACAUGCAAGUCGAACGGUAACGCGGGGCAACCUGGCGACGAGUGGCGAACGGGUGAGUAAUGCAUCGGAACGUGCCCAGUAGUGGGGGAUAGCCCGGCGAAAGCCGGAUUAAUACCGCAUACGACCUACGGGUGAAAGGGGGGGAUCGCAAGACCUCUCGCUAUUGGAGCGGCCGAUGUCAGAUUAGGUAGUUGGUGGGGUAAAAGCCUACCAAGCCAACGAUCUGUAGCUGGUCUGAGAGGACGACCAGCCACACUGGGACUGAGACACGGCCCAGUCUCCUACGGGAGGCAGCAGUGGGAAAUUUUGGACAAUGGGCGCAAGCCUGAUCCAGCCAUGCCGCGUGCGGGAAGAAGGCCUUCGGGUUGUAAACCGCUUUUGUCAGGGAAGAAAUCUUCUGGGUUAAUACCUCGGGAGGAUGACGGUACCUGAAGAAUAAGCACCGGCUAACUACGUGCCAGCAGCCGCGGUAAUACGUAGGGUGCAAGCGUUAAUCGGAAUUACUGGGCGUAAAGCGUGCGCAGGCGGUUAUGCAAGACAGAUGUGAAAUCCCCGGGCUUAACCUGGGAACUGCAUUUGUGACUGCAUAGCUAGAGUGCGGCAGAGGGGGAUGGAAUUCCGCGUGUAGCAGUGAAAUGCGUAGAUAUGCGGAGGAACACCGAUGGCGAAGGCAAUCCCCUGGGCCUGCACUGACGCUCAUGCACGAAAGCGUGGGGAGCAAACAGGAUUAGAUACCCUGGUAGUCCACGCCCUAAACGAUGUCAACUGGUUGUUGGGAGGGUUUCUUCUCAGUAACGUAGCUAACGCGUGAAGUUGACCGCCUGGGGAGUACGGCCGCAAGGUUGAAACUCAAAGGAAUUGACGGGGACCCGCACAAACGGUGGAUGAUGUGGUUUAAUUCGACGCAACGCGAAAAACCUUACCUACCCUUGACAUGCCUGGAAUCCUGCAGAGAUGCGGGAGUGCUCGAAAGAGAGCCAGGACACAGGUGCUGCAUGGCCGUCGUCAGCUCGUGUCGUGAGAUGUUGGGUUAAGUCCCGCAACGAGCGCAACCCUUGUCAUUAGUUGCUACGAAAGGGCACUCUAAUGAGACUGCCGGUGACAAACCGGAGGAAGGUGGGGAUGACGUCAGGUCAUCAUGGCCCUUAUGGGUAGGGCUACACACGUCAUACAAUGGCCGGUACAGAGGGCUGCCAACCCGCGAGGGGGAGCUAAUCCCAGAAAACCGGUCGUAGUCCGGAUCGCAGUCUGCAACUCGACUGCGUGAAGUCGGAAUCGCUAGUAAUCGCGGAUCAGCUUGCCGCGGUGAAUACGUUCCCGGGUCUUGUACACACCGCCCGUCACACCAUGGGAGCGGGUUCUGCCAGAAGUAGUUAGCCUAACCGCAAGGAGGGCGAUUACCACGGCAGGGUUCGUGACUGGGGUGAAGUCGUAACAAGGUA
RNAcentral lists this ribosomal RNA (1487 nucleotides) under metagenome. RNAcentral describes it as "bacterial SSU rRNA". It matches the Rfam family "Bacterial small subunit ribosomal RNA". The record is from RNAcentral.